Non-coding RNA from Caenorhabditis elegans, 144 nucleotides. Lineage: Eukaryota; Metazoa; Nematoda; Chromadorea; Rhabditida; Rhabditidae. The record is from Ensembl.
GAAAAGAACACAGAGACGGAAAACCAUCGCGUUGUAUUCGAGUCUCACACCGUGUUUAGCUCCCGCAGGACUGAUUAGGCACCGGUAAACACGGAAAAAAUGGGUGGUGUCUCCGCGAAAUAGAGGCUGUUGUUUCUUAGUCUU